RNAcentral lists this ribosomal RNA (497 nucleotides) under uncultured bacterium. RNAcentral's name for it is "partial 16S ribosomal RNA". It matches the Rfam family "Bacterial small subunit ribosomal RNA", at positions 28 to 507 of the family's 1533-position model. The record is from RNAcentral.
GAUGAACGCUGGCGGCGUGCCUAAUACAUGCAAGUCGAGCGAACGGACGAGAAGCUUGCUUCUCUGAUGUUAGCGGCGGACGGGUGAGUAACACGUGGAUAACCUACCUAUAAGACUGGGAUAACUUCGGGAAACCGGAGCUAAUACCGGAUAAUAUUUUGAACCGCAUGGUUCAAAAGUGAAAGACGGUCUUGCUGUCACUUAUAGAUUGAUCCGCGCUGCAUUAGCUAGUUGGUAAGGUAACGGCUUACCAAGGCAACGAUGCAUAGCCGACCUGAGAGGGUGAUCGGCCACACUGGAACUGAGACACGUUCCAGACUCCUACGGGAGGCAGCAGUAGGGAAUCUUCCGCAAUGGGCGAAAGCCUGACGGAGCAAAGCCGCGUGAGUGAUGAAGGUCUUCGGAUCGUAAAACUCUGUUAUUAGGGAAGAACAUAUGUGUAAGUAACUGUGCACAUCUUGACGGUACCUAAUCAGAAAGCCACGGCUAACUACGUG